CCGACCAUAGCUCAGUUGGUAGAGCGGAGGACUGUAGAGUUGCAGAUAUCCUUAGGUCACUGGUUCGAAUCCGGUUGGUCGGA
This 83-nucleotide transfer RNA is filed under the name Physcomitrium patens. Its description in RNAcentral is "tRNA tRNA-Tyr". It matches the Rfam family "tRNA". From Rfam's summary of the family: Transfer RNA (tRNA) molecules are approximately 80 nucleotides in length. Their secondary structure includes four short double-helical elements and three loops (D, anti-codon, and T loops). Further hydrogen bonds mediate the characteristic L-shaped molecular structure. tRNAs have two regions of fundamental functional importance: the anti-codon, which is responsible for specific mRNA codon recognition, and the 3' end, to which the tRNAs corresponding amino acid is attached (by aminoacyl-tRNA synthetases). tRNAs cope with the degeneracy of the genetic code in two manners: having more than one tRNA (with a specific anti-codon) for a particular amino acid; and 'wobble' base-pairing, i.e. permitting non-standard base-pairing at the 3rd anti-codon position. The record is from Rfam by way of RNAcentral. Lineage: Eukaryota; Viridiplantae; Streptophyta; Bryopsida; Funariales; Funariaceae.